Molecule: ribosomal RNA, 161 nt
Filed under: uncultured fungus
Lineage: Eukaryota; Fungi
Description: 5.8S ribosomal RNA
Rfam family: 5.8S ribosomal RNA
About the family: 5.8S ribosomal RNA (5.8S rRNA) is a component of the large subunit of the eukaryotic ribosome. It is transcribed by RNA polymerase I as part of the 45S precursor that also contains 18S and 28S rRNA. Functionally, it is thought that 5.8S rRNA may be involved in ribosome translocation.
Source: RNAcentral
UUACAACUUUCAGCAAUGGAUCUCUUGGCUCUCGCAUCGAUGAAGAACGCAGCGAAACGCGAUAUGUAAUGUGAAUUGCAGAUCUACAGUGAAUCAUCGAAUCUUUGAACGCACCUUGCGCUCCUUGGUAUUCCGAGGAGCAUGCCUGUUUGAGUGUCAGU